RNAcentral lists this long non-coding RNA (5371 nucleotides) under Sus scrofa (pig). Its description in RNAcentral is "lncRNA (ENSSSCG00030061309.1)". The record is from RNAcentral. Lineage: Eukaryota; Metazoa; Chordata; Mammalia; Artiodactyla; Suidae.
GGAUCAAAAGAUGAGAGAAAAAUCUGAAAGAAAUAAUGUUUGAUAGUCUCUAAACAUAUAAAACAGUUCUCUUGUAAAUUAGGAUGGAACUAAAGUCAGUGUGAUUACAAUGAAGACUCACUUUAAAUUUUAAAAAUGUAUAUUACAGGUGCUAUGACUUCUUAGUGUAUAAAUGUUCUAAGCUCUGGUUUUGAAUCAAAAUCACACGUGGAGUCCCAGACCUACUGAAUCCUCUGGGUUAGAGCUCUUGAAACCCUAUUUUUGAAAUGCAGUUGAUGCACAGGCAUUGCAAAAAGAUGAUUGAAGUAGACUGAAGUAGAUUGGUGUAGAACUGCAGAUCAGCAGCAUCAGUAUCAUCUGGGAACCUGUUAGAAAUGUACAAUAUUAUGCACUACACUAGACCUACUACAUCAGAAUCUAUAGUUCAAGAUUCUCAGUGACUUGUAUUAAAGUUCCAGAAGCUCUGGCCUAUGGGAGACAAAUACCAGACUGGGAUUCAAGGCACUUGUAUACUGUGGCUCUGUCACAUUCCAGUUUAUGUAAAUCAUUCAUCUUUUGUGAGUCUACUUCUCUAGCUAAAGGAACAGAUAUACCUACCCGACUUAUUCCAGGACUGUUGGAAGACUAUGAAAUGGAAUAAGGAAAAUAUGUGGAAGUAUUUCAAAAGAUUAAAAGUGCACUGUUUAUGUAAACUGAAGUUCUUAAGUGGUCAGCAGAACCACAGAUUUAUAGAGCUACUUGGCUGUUGAGUUUAUUCCAUUUUUAUAUUUUGAGCCACAUCCUUGAUUACUGCAUGGUUAACCCACACUCACAUUUUUUUAGCCACCUACUGAAAAUGCCCAAGGAUAUUGUCAACUUUUUCUCAUGAUUUUUAAGUCAUAGGUAAGUAACAAAUAUAAAUGAAAAGAUGGAUCAUUGGAAUCCACAGAGUACCUGGAAAUAAACUGUAUUCAUUAAUGUAACUCCCUAUCUGGAAAUAGGCAAAUUGAAGAUUUCAGUGAUGUCACCUUGGCCUUAUGAGUCCCAUAGUCUCUCUUGUCAUGGGUAAUUAAUAUUUGAUUCAUGGGUCAUCUUCUUGUGAUGAGCUCCUUUGUACCCUUAGGUGAAUUUGGUAACAGAGCUGUCAUUGUGUCCAGGGGAAUAAAUCUAGAAGAAUGUAAUUGUGUAAUCUUUAGAACUUGCCUGAGCCCUUCCUCUUCUCCAGUCUGCUUUCUAUCAUUGUGUUUUCUUCUUUGAUGAAAUAGAUGGUUGUAGCUCAUCUCAAUAAUCUUUGUCUCCUAUAUUCACACCCUGGUAGAGUCCCCACUCAUGUUAAAUAAAGGUAUUUUGUGUAAGCUAUAGAAUAUUGUAGAAAUGACAGAAUGUAAUUUCUGAAGCUAGGGAAUAAAAGACAUUGGGUCUUCCUUUUGCUUUCUUAUAUGACUUGCUUUGGGGAAAGCCAGCUGCCAUGAUGUAAGGACGUUCAAGAAGUCUUAUGGAAAAAUCUAUGUGGCAAAACCCUGAGGCUUCCUGCCAAUAACCAGUGAGGAAUGCCAAUAGGCAUAAGAGUGAACCAUCUUGGAAGCUGAUGCUCCAGCUCCAGCCUAGGGUUCAGGUAACUACAGCCUUGUCUGCAAUCUCAUGAGAGAAGCUGAGCGAGAACCAUUCAACUCCUAAAUGCUUGAUCCACAGAAAGUGUUAGAAAGUGUCUGUUUUAAGCACACAAGUUUUAAGCUAACUUGUUAUGUUGUAGUAUAUAACUAAUGCAUAAAUACUCUAUCAUCAAUGGAAAGAUCUCUGAUCUGAAUAUUAAACAAAUACAAUACCCAAAUCAACCUGUUAAAGAAAUUAGAAUUACUCAUGUUAUGUUUAUUUAUAUAUUUUAUGUGACUCAAAUAAAACUUACUUCAUUUUGGAGUUCCCGUCCUGGCUCAGUGGUUAACAAAUCCAACUAGGAACCAUGAGGUUGCAGGUUUGAUCCCUGGCCUUGCUCGGUGGGUUAAGGAUACAGCAUUGCCAUGAGCUGUGGUGUAGGUUGCAGACGUGGCUCGGAUCCCAUGUUGCUGUGGCUGUGGUGUAGGCUGGCAGCUGCCGCUCCAAUUGGACCCCUAGCCUGGGAACCUCCAUAUGCCAUGGGAGCAACCCAAGAAAUGGCAAAAACAAACAAACAACAACAAAAAAAUAUCUCAGGGAAGCAAGACCCAGAAACAAGAUUUUGUGACUAGUUCCUUGUCAGAAAACUUCUGAAUAAGGCAAAACAUGUUAAUGUGAGAGAAAUAGGAGUGAAGAGAGUCUGAUUUCACAGUAAAAACAAGGCAUCAUUCUUUCCCUCCCAAAUAUUUAUUGGGCAUGUUACAGACGCAUAGCUCAUGCCACCUGCAGAGAAGACAUUUUUAAGACUUAUUUUAAGUAGAUGUUUCAACUCCUUGAGCUAAUACAGACAUUAAUGGUAAAUAAGGUUGCAGAAUUAAGGUAUUUUUUUUGUGUGUGUGUGUUUUUCCAGAGGAGCCCUCAGCCUUUACUGUGAAAUUAUUAACAGACAGAUACUAUGUUGUUAAUAUGCAAAGUCACUGACAAAGCUCUAUAUUGUUGGGAGGCUUUGAUCUGUGUGGUUUUUAUUUCAACAUAUGAUUUCAUAGCUAUUUGAAUAGGACUGAAAUUAAAUGAUGUCUUGAUCAACAUCUUGAGAAUUCACUUUUCUUUUUCUGACUUUGUACAGAGCAAUGUUAAUGUUGAAUAGAGAAACAGCAAACAGUAACUUCAGCUGGUUGAAAUCCAAAGCUCUGUUUUCCACAGACACAUAAAAUUAGUUGAGAAUGGCCAACAUUCUGGCCUGUACUACAGUCUGGGUGUGUUCUGUUGGCUUCUGUUACUAUAUCCCGUCUGCAAACCAGGUGUACAAAACAUCCCAAAGAAGAAGUCUGGCUGCUGGUAAUUAAUGGAGUUAUGUGUGAAUGAAAUUCAAAGCAGUAGCAAUAUAUUUUGCUGGAUAGUGUUAGAAAAGCUUUCUUAAAACUAGCAAAAUGACAGCAAAUGACAGCUUCUAAUCUCAGUGAACUAGGAUAUUCUGACACUCAUUAAAAUUCAGUGUUUAAUCAUCAAUUCUUCCUUAAAGUAGGAGGGAAAAUGGUUUUUAUGGGAUGGUUAAAAUGUUCCUUAUAAAGCAAACAAGGCAAAACUACUCAUUGUGAUGAAAUGUGAAAAUAAUAGUCCACUAAAUAUUGUACCAUGCUCAAGGGCUAAAUUUAAGACUAUUUCACAUUUCCCCUGUCAAAAAUUUGGGCCCUCUGAUAAGCUUGACUCAUGGUUGGUGCUAGAAUCUGGACUUUAUCUUAUCCCGUAUUUGAUAUUAUUUUAUCUGUGUAUAAUCAUGAUUUGAAUGAUGCUUAAUGAUGGAGAUGUGACUGCUUACUUGGAAAAAAAAUGGAAAGAAGUAUUGGGAGUCAUAGCUUAUCUAAGCUCUUGUGAUUUGUGCUGAAUAAACACGAAUAUAUUAUUUUUCUUUCAUAAAAAGGGAAAUAUGCUAUAAACUAAUGAGAAUUUUUGGAGGAUUUAUGGAGCAUAUGUUUAUAUAUUAACUCUAAAGCCUUUUUAGUAAUAAGGGUGUCAAAUACUGAGAGAUAAUAAUUCCAUUAAUGCAAGAAAGUUAUCCUAUUUGCAUCCAGAGUCAAAUUGCUAAACAGGAAACAAAAACCAAAACAAAGCAAAACAAAACAAUAAGAAAAUAUUUUACUUAUUAGAAAAUUUUCACCCUUUUCAUUGCAUUAUGUGUGGAGUCAAAUUUCUAGGGAUUUGGAUUAACAAUCCAAUUAACAAAUGCCUAUCAGUAACUACCAGGUCUUUAACACUGAACUACUAUGCUUUGUAACAGAAUCAUCUGGGAAGUUUCUAAAUGCAGGUGGUGCUAGAGAUCAGAAUCUUGUUCCUAACCCAGAAUGAGGUUCAUUGUUCUGAAGGAGUUAUUCUAAAGAAGACACCUGAGUCUUUUUGCAGAGGGGGAGGAAAUUAUGGUAUAGGAGACUAAGUAUUUAUACAAAAAAUAAAAACAACAAGGAAUUCGUGAUAAUUUGUAGUUCUCUAACUAUAAAUGUUACCUGCUAUGUUUUUUUUGCAUUGGAGCAGUAAGUGGAUAAUUAAAUUCAACCAAUCAGUAAAGGAUGAUAUAUCACUUACCUAGACUAGUGAUGCUUAAUCUUUUUUUUUUUUUUUUUUUGGUGUCUGUCUCUUUUGAGUCUGAUGAGUACUUGAAACUUUUGCAAAAAUUAUAUAUUUUAACUUAUUAUGUAAUUAAAAAUCAAACUAUGUAUCUUAAAAUUAAGAUACAUAUAAAAUAUAACCAAAAUAGUAGAAAUAUAUAUUUACCGAUAUGUCUUCUUAGAGAAAGUGGAAGAAUAGUCCUUUGGUCUCACUGAUGGAUAAUUGAAGCCAAAAGUGUGGGUGAAAUCGUUUAUGGGAGGUGUUUGGAGCAUAAAGAGGAAUGGAAGGAAAGGAACACAGGAAGACACAAUGAGGAGAGAAUGAAGGAUUAGGAAUCCAUGAAAACAAAUAAGAAGCAAUAGCCAAAGAGAAAGGAGAGAUGCCAGAAGAGUAUUAUGACAGUGAUGGAAGGUGGUAUUGUCAAGAACAGAGUGAGAAUUAUUGCUAAAUGUUAUGGAGGUUGGGCAAGAUAAAGAAGGCAAUCAUAGUUUUAAGGGGAACAGGAGUAAAGUUCUCAGGACUUGAAGUAAUGGAUCUAUGAGACUAAAGCUUGUGAUUUUCUUAUUUGGAUUUUGAAGUUCUCUGGGAUAGUAACAGGGCUCAGUAUGGAAAAGCUGACUGAUAUAGGAGCUCUUUGUCCCACGUGAGUGAGGUUCUGAGUGGUUGUAGAUUGGUUCUGAAAUGUAGGAUCAAACCCAGAGUUGCCACAACCGUGGUCUCAGAUUUAAAGAUUCUCAUCUGUUAUAAUGCUAUUAAAGGAAUAUGCCAUGUAUCAUUUGUCAGAAAAGUAAAAAUAUUUGUAGCCAUGUUAUCUGUUAUCAGGUGAUCUUGAGUAGUGACAUAGUUUAGAAAUGUUUAAGGUCUAAAAAUCUAAGUAAUCUGUUGUUAAUACUGAAUUCACAUUACAGUCACUCUAGUUGGUUAAAAAAAAAAAUUCUGGCAACAAACCAGUCCAGUCAAAAUUUUAAAAGCCUCUUAAAACUUCUGAUUUUGUCCCUGAUAUGUAAACCUCUUGGAAGUCAUUAGUCCUGAUCUUACAAAGGGAAAAUAAUUUGAACAAACUAAAACUCAAUGACUAAUUUUUUUUUGAGCCUUUCAGAAGACUGAAGCCACUGGGAAAAUCACCUUCCCUAAAUGUGGAGAGGGAGAUGAGUCAAGAGUUAGAGUUAAACAGGAUAAAUUAAAAAAAAAAAAA